GACGAACGCUGGCGGCGUGCUUAACACAUGCAAGUCGAACGGAAAGGCCCUGCUUUUGUGGGGUGCUCGAGUGGCGAACGGGUGAGUAACACGUGAGUAACCUGCCCUUGACUUUGGGAUAACUUCAGGAAACUGGGGCUAAUACCGGAUAGGAGCUCCUGCUGCAUGGUGGGGGUUGGAAAGUUUCGGCGGUUGGGGAUGGACUCGCGGCUUAUCAGCUUGUUGGUGGGGUAGUGGCUUACCAAGGCUUUGACGGGUAGCCGGCCUGAGAGGGUGACCGGCCAAAUUGGGACUGAGAUACGGCCCAGACUCCUACGGGAGCCAGCAGUGGGGAAUAUUGCACAAUGGGCGGAAGCCUGAUGCAGCAACGCCGCGUGCGGGAUGACUGCCGUCGGGUUGUAAACCGCUUUCGCCUGUGACGAAGCGUGAGUGACGGUAAUGGGUAAAGAAGCACCGGCUAACUACGUG
Molecule: ribosomal RNA, 468 nt
Filed under: uncultured bacterium
Lineage: Bacteria
Description: partial 16S ribosomal RNA
Rfam family: Bacterial small subunit ribosomal RNA
Source: RNAcentral